This 92-nucleotide ribosomal RNA is filed under the name Aponogeton boivinianus. Its description in RNAcentral is "partial 5.8S ribosomal RNA". It matches the Rfam family "5.8S ribosomal RNA", at positions 68 to 154 of the family's 154-position model. Rfam says of the family: 5.8S ribosomal RNA (5.8S rRNA) is a component of the large subunit of the eukaryotic ribosome. The record is from RNAcentral. RNAcentral also lists the same sequence under 1 other name. Lineage: Eukaryota; Viridiplantae; Streptophyta; Magnoliopsida; Alismatales; Aponogetonaceae.
UGAAUUGCAGAAUCCCGUGAACCAUCGAGUCUUUGAACGCAAGUUGCGCCCGGAGCCUUCGGGCCGAGGGCACGCCUGCCUGGGCGUCACGC